RNAcentral lists this ribosomal RNA (319 nucleotides) under uncultured eukaryote. RNAcentral describes it as "partial 18S ribosomal RNA". It matches the Rfam family "Eukaryotic small subunit ribosomal RNA", at positions 1470 to 1796 of the family's 1831-position model. The record is from RNAcentral.
CCCUUAGAUGUUCUGGGCUGCACGCGUGCUACAAUGGCGUUUCCAGCAAGUCUGCGAACCCGAGAGGGCCAGCGGAUCUUCGAAUUGGCGUCGUGAUCGGGACAGUCGAUUGAAAUUAUUUGACUCAAACGAGGAAUUCCUUGUAAUCGCGAUUCAUCAUAUCGCGCUGAAUACGUCCCUGCCCUUUGUACACACCGCCCGUCGCUCCUACCGAUUGAGCGAUCCGGUAAAUGUUUUGGAUUGGUGCCGGGGCGGCUAGCUGCCGGUCGCUACGAAAUUUUGUGAACCUUAUCGCUUAGAGGAAGGAAAAGUCGUAACA